This 569-nucleotide ribosomal RNA is filed under the name uncultured bacterium. Its description in RNAcentral is "partial 16S ribosomal RNA". It matches the Rfam family "Bacterial small subunit ribosomal RNA", at positions 355 to 914 of the family's 1533-position model. The record is from RNAcentral.
UGAGGAAUAUUGGACAAUGGGCGCAAGCCUGAUCCAGCAAUGCCGCGUGUGUGAAGAAGGCCUUCGGGUUGUAAAGCACUUUUAUCAGGAGCGAAACGCUGUCGGCUAAUACCCGGCGGAACUGACGGUACCUGAGGAAUAAGCACCGGCUAACUUCGUGCCAGCAGCCGCGGUAAUACGAAGGGUGCGAGCGUUAAUCGGAAUUACUGGGCGUAAAGCGUGCGUAGGCGGUUUCUUAAGUCUGCUGUGAAAUCCCCGGGCUCAACCUGGGAAUGGCAGUGGAUACUGGGAGGCUAGAGUGUGUCAGAGGGUGGUGGAAUUCCCGGUGUAGCGGUGAAAUGCGUAGAGAUCGGGAGGAACAUCAGUGGCGAAGGCGGCCACCUGGGACAACACUGACGCUGAGGCACGAAAGCGUGGGGAGCAAACAGGAUUAGAUACCCUGGUAGUCCACGCCCUAAACGAUGCGAACUGGAUGUUGGUCUCAACUCGGAGAUCAGUGUCGAAGCUAACGCGUUAAGUUCGCCGCCUGGGGGAGUACGGUCGCAAGACUGAAACUUAAAUGAAUUGAC